Long non-coding RNA from Anthonomus grandis grandis, 399 nucleotides. RefSeq lists it as uncharacterized. Lineage: Eukaryota; Metazoa; Arthropoda; Insecta; Coleoptera; Curculionidae. The record is from RefSeq and is a predicted model, not a curated record. The transcript is spliced from 2 exons.
AGGUUCUCAAUUUCAGGCUACGGUAAUCUGCUCUCCAAUGAUGCAAUCUGGGUCUAGUUAUCGGCGUCAAUAGGUUCAGCUAACUACGGUGUAGGGCUGGAAAGGAGUAAUAUAAGAACGGGUUUGGGAGGAAAGCAAAGGGCAAAAAAUAACCGCAAAAAGGUGACGAGGAAAUCAACCUUAGACAUAUUAUAGCAGUAUUAUCAAAUUCAGUUUAAAAUAAGAUAAGCACAAGGAAUCACAAGACCAGGAAAAAUCCACUCUGUGUAUUCACUUCUCUUAUCUCCAGCUUUUCAACUGAGGAAGUAUUUCGCAAUAAAAAUCUUUUUUUUAAAUUAAAUUAAAGCUAAAAUGUAUUAUAAAUAUUUGUUAGAAAUGUAUUAUAAAUUACUAAAUACA